Molecule: ribosomal RNA, 506 nt
Filed under: Oceanobacillus sp. EP95F2
Lineage: Bacteria; Bacillati; Bacillota; Bacilli; Caryophanales; Bacillaceae
Description: bacterial SSU rRNA
Rfam family: Bacterial small subunit ribosomal RNA
Source: RNAcentral
CCCUUCGGGGUGAUGUUUGUGGAAUGAGCGGCGGACGGGUGAGUAACACGUGGGCAACCUACCUGUAAGAUCGGGAUAACUCGCGGAAACGUGAGCUAAUACCGGAUAACACUUUUCACCUCAUGGUGAGAAGAUGAAAGGCGGCGCAAGCUGUCACUUACAGAUGGGCCCGCGGCGCAUUAGCUAGUUGGUGGGGUAAUGGCUCACCAAGGCGACGAUGCGUAGCCGACCUGAGAGGGUGAUCGGCCACACUGGGACUGAGACACGGCCCAGACUCCUACGGGAGGCAGCAGUAGGGAAUCUUCCGCAAUGGACGAAAGUCUGACGGAGCAACGCCGCGUGAGUGAUGAAGGUUUUCGGAUCGUAAACUCUGUUGUUAGGGAAGAACAAGUAUGAUAGUACUGAUCAUACCUUGACGGUACCUAACCAGAAAGCCACGGCUAACUACGUGCCAGCAGCCGCGGUAAUACGUAUGUGGCAAGCGUUGUCCGGAAUUAUUGGGCGUA